This 233-nucleotide unclassified non-coding RNA is filed under the name soil metagenome. RNAcentral describes it as "partial contains small subunit ribosomal RNA, internal transcribed spacer 1, and 5.8S ribosomal RNA". The record is from RNAcentral.
UCUCCGUUGGUGAACCAGCGGAGGGAUCAUUACUGAGUUUACGCUCUACAACCCUUUGUGAACAUACCUACAACUGUUGCUUCGGCGGGUAGGGUCUCCGCGACCCUCCCGGCCUCCCGCCUCCGGGCGGGUCGGCGCCCGCCGGCGGAUAACCAAACUCUGAUUUAACGACGUUUCUUCUGAGUGGUACAAGCAAAUAAUCAAAACUUUUAACAACGGAUCUCUUGGUUCUG